Xyrauchen texanus (razorback sucker) is the source of this 815-nucleotide long non-coding RNA. RefSeq lists it as uncharacterized. The record is from RefSeq and is a predicted model, not a curated record. The transcript is spliced from 4 exons. NCBI's taxonomy places the organism in Eukaryota, Metazoa, Chordata, Actinopteri, Cypriniformes, Catostomidae.
CUCUGAGUUUUCAGUUACAGAACAGCUGAAAUUAGUUAGUUCAAUCAACUCUAAGUUGACUGACUCUGAGUUAAGCGAGUGCACCACAACUAUAAAAAGCCAUUAUCAAUGGAGCGCAGAUAUUAUGAGUCACCAUGGCAACAGCGGCGAAGGACAGAGAGUUAGCUUGGGAGAAAAUAGCUGCUCGAGUCAAUGCCCAACAGAAAGAAGGUAGAGGCUCGUAAAACAGGGGGAGGACCUGCACCACCACCUCUGACAAAUGCAGAAGAGAUGGCCCUGAACCUGAAUGCUGGAAGGCCAAUGCCUGAGGGAAUUCCUGGAGGGACUUCAUCAGAGUCAGUCACUCCUGAAGAUUUAAGUGCCUUCAUAAAAUGUAAGAGGUCUACCUAUGUGUUAUUUUCUAUAUAGGCUAUUUGUGAUAUUUCCAUUUAUUUUACUUUGUGUUGGGUUUUUCGUUGGUCCCAAUAUAUUCUGAUGGUAAUAUGUGUCUUUUGGAGCCUCCUGUCCCAACAGAACCCCAGGCAGUUGAUGAUGGGGAUGAAGAAACAGUUUCUGCUGCCACAGAGAGGCCUACAGAGAGUGUGGAAGAACAGCAGGAGGAAGGUCCAUCGACUUCUGGUGCACAGAUGAACACAGUUCAGUGAUUUUCAGUAAAUGCCACAGUUUAAUUAUGUAGAAUUUGUUUAGAACUACAUGAUGUAACUCUAAUCUACUGUAUUUUCAGUUGCCAGUUAAGGAGUUAUAUAGAUUUCAUUUUAUUAAAAAAAUUGAAAAAAAACAGCAAACAAUUUAUAUACUUGGAUCGCCAGAUCCAA